This 443-nucleotide ribosomal RNA is filed under the name uncultured bacterium. RNAcentral describes it as "partial 16S ribosomal RNA". It matches the Rfam family "Bacterial small subunit ribosomal RNA", at positions 338 to 795 of the family's 1533-position model. The record is from RNAcentral.
CCUACGGGCGGCAGCAGUGGGGAAUAUUGCGCAAUGGAGGCAACUCUGAUCCAGCAAUGCCGCGUGAAUGAAGAAGGUCUUCGGAUUGUACAGUUCUGUAAUCAGGGACGAAGAUGAUGAUGGUACAUUAGGAAUACGCCACUGCGAACUAGGUGCCAGCAGCCGCGGUAAUACGUGGGCGGCAAGUGUUGUCCGGAAGGACUGUGCGAAAAGGGAGCGUAGGCGGUCUGGUAAGUCUGAAGUGAAAUCCCGGGGCUCAACCCCAGAACUGCUUUCAAGAUUGACCGACUUGAGUGUAGGAGAGGUAAGCGGAAUUCCUAGUGUAGCGGUGGAAUGCGUAGAUAUUAGGAGGAACACCAGUGGCGAAGGCGGCUUACUGGAUUAUAACUGACGCUGAGGCUCGAAAGCGUGGGUAGCAAACAGGAUUAGAUACCCUAGUAGUC